This 1372-nucleotide ribosomal RNA is filed under the name uncultured bacterium. RNAcentral describes it as "bacterial SSU rRNA". It matches the Rfam family "Bacterial small subunit ribosomal RNA", at positions 28 to 1381 of the family's 1533-position model. The record is from RNAcentral.
GAUGAACGCUGGCGGCGUGCCUAAUACAUGCAAGUCGAGCGAACAGACGAGGAGCUUGCUCCUUUGACGUUAGCGGCGGACGGGUGAGUAACACGUGGAUAACCUACCUAUAAGACUGGGAUAACUUCGGGAAACCGGAGCUAAUACCGGAUAACAUGUUGAACCGCAUGGUUCAACAGUGAAAGACGGUCUUGCUGUCACUUAUAGAUGGAUCCGCGCCGCAUUAGCUAGUUGGUAAGGUAACGGCUUACCAAGGCAACGAUGCGUAGCCGACCUGAGAGGGUGAUCGGCCACACUGGAACUGAGACACGGUCCAGACUCCUACGGGAGGCGGCAGUAGGGAAUCUUCCGCAAUGGGCGAAAGCCUGACGGAGCAACGCCGCAUGAGUGAAGAAGGUCUUCGGAUCGUAAAACUCUGUUAUUAGGGAAGAACAAAUGUGUAAGUAACUAUGCACGUCUUGACGGUACCUAAUCAGAAAGCCACGGCUAACUACGUGCCAGCAGCCGCGGUAAUACGUAGGUGGCAAGCGUUAUCCGGAAUUAUUGGGCGUAAAGCGCGCGUAGGCGGUUUUUUAAGUCUGAUGUGAAAGCCCACGGCUCAACCGUGGAGGGUCAUUGGAAACUGGAAAACUUGAGUGCAGAAGAGGAAAGUGGAAUUCCAUGUGUAGCGGUGAAAUGCGCAGAGAUAUGGAGGAACACCAGUGGCGAAGGCGACUUUCUGGUCUGUAACUGGCGCUGAUGUGCGAAAGCGUGGGGAUCAAACAGGAUUAGAUACCCUGGUAGUCCACGCCGUAAACGAUGAGUGCUAAGUGUUAGGGGGUUUCCGCCCCUUAGUGCUGCAGCUAACGCAUUAAGCACUCCGCCUGGGGAGUACGACCGCAGGGUUGAAACUCAAAGGAAUUGACGGGGACCCGCACAAGCGGUGGAGCAUGUGGUUUAAUUCGAAGCAACGCGAAGUACCUUACCAAAUCUUGACAUCCUCUGACCCCUCUAGAGAUAGAGUUUUCCCCUUCGGGGGACAGAGUGACAGGUGGUGCAUGGUUGUCGUCAGCUCGUGUCGUGAGAUGUUGGGUUAAGUCCCGCAACGAGCGCAACCCUUAAGCUUAGUUGCCAUCAUUAAGUUGGGCACUCUAAGUUGACUGCCGGUGACAAACCGGAGGAAGGUGGGGAUGACGUCAAAUCAUCAUGCCCCUUAUGAUUUGGGCUACACACGUGCUACAAUGGACAAUACAAAGGGUAGCGAAACCGCGAGGUCAAGCAAAUCCCAUAAAGUUGUUCUCAGUUCGGAUUGUAGUCUGCAACUCGACUACAUGAAGCUGGAAUCGCUAGUAAUCGUAGAUCAGCAUGCUACGGUGAAUACGUUCCCGGGUCU